RNAcentral lists this transfer RNA (69 nucleotides) under Callopanchax monroviae. RNAcentral describes it as "tRNA-Tyr". It matches the Rfam family "tRNA". Rfam says of the family: Transfer RNA (tRNA) molecules are approximately 80 nucleotides in length. Their secondary structure includes four short double-helical elements and three loops (D, anti-codon, and T loops). The record is from RNAcentral. Lineage: Eukaryota; Metazoa; Chordata; Actinopteri; Cyprinodontiformes; Nothobranchiidae.
GGUAGGAUGGCUGAGAGUAAGCGGUGGGUUGUAGCCCCACAAACAGAGGUUAAUGCCCUCUUCCUACUA